This 477-nucleotide long non-coding RNA is filed under the name Vigna radiata. RNAcentral describes it as "long non-coding RNA (VRAD_LNC012932)". The record is from RNAcentral. Lineage: Eukaryota; Viridiplantae; Streptophyta; Magnoliopsida; Fabales; Fabaceae.
GAAGCUUGCUUCAAAAGAAAAAUAGAAAGAAACGAAAAAAAAACAAUUGGAGCUCUCCCUUCAAGACGUUGCACCAUAGCAUUCAAGGGUAAACUCAAAAGGAAAGAGAGAAAAAAAAAACGUUCCAGACUUUAAAAAAAAAAAUUAAAAAGGAAAACCUACGUGAAUCACAUUCCUCGUCAUCCAAAAUCAAGAAAUAACAUCAACGUUGCUCCCAGAAAACGUUGCAGCAGACUGUGCUAAUAGAGAAUGACGGCUCCACACCUUUCCCUAGGGCCCAUGUGUCCUCUAAAAUGAGGUGGGUUCGACCCCUCUGCAAAACCCUAGGUGCCAUGUCAUGUUUCCUAAAUGGGCUCAAACUAUUUUGCCAAAAAUUGGCCCAAUGUUUACAAAUUUAAUUAAAAACUAUCUAAACUACUAAUUUCAAAAUAAUUAAAUUUGAAAUGUUUAUGACAAGAGUCUUGAAUUAUUUGGUGU